This is a non-coding RNA of Paramisgurnus dabryanus, 483 nucleotides long. Lineage: Eukaryota; Metazoa; Chordata; Actinopteri; Cypriniformes; Cobitidae. The record is from RefSeq and is a predicted model, not a curated record.
AAUAACAUCAUUAAUAACCUGUAAAUAAUCAAAUUUGUACACAUUACGUUCCUCUUCACUUUGUAAUAGUAUGUUUUUGGUUUAAUAGUCGGCUUUUAGUUAGUUUUUCUGUCAGUUUGAUCGUCAAAAUCUUGAAAGUUAUCUACAGCCACACAUCCACUGUAUACCAAGUUAUGAUGAUCAAUUAUGAGAAUGCAAAAGGAUUGAUAGAUCAGUAAACAAACAACAAAAAGAUGGGUGCUCAUGGUGGCCUCCGAAUAAAUACAUGGACAGGCUGCUAAAGAGGGUCAGGAUGAUGGAGAUGCAAGAGUCAAAGACAGCACAGACCAAACACCAGGCCAGAAUUCUGCAUGAGUCAGUUUCCAGCCUUUUUCACAAAGUUGCCGACAACUGGAAGAAUGUCCCAAAUUGCUGAAAAAAGAAAUUCAAUUGAGUAAUUUUCACUCUAGAGACCCUGGGGUGACCACCAAGGACGAAUGCAAA